AUUGAACGCUGGCGGCAUGCUUUACACAUGCAAGUCGAACGGUAACAGGUUAAGCUGACGAGUGGCGAACGGGUGAGUAAUGCAUCGGAACGUGCCCGAUCGUGGGGGAUAACGCAGCGAAAGCUGCGCCAAUACCGCAUACGCUCUGUGGAUGAAAGCGGGGGACCGUAAGGCCUCGCGCGAUGGGAGCGGCCGAUGUCAGAGUAGGUAGUUGGUGGGGUAAAGGCCUACCAAGCCGACGAUCUGUAGCUGGUCUGAGAGGACGACCAGCCACACUGGGACUGAGACACGGCCCAGACUCCUACGGGAGGCAGCAGUGGGGAAUUUUGGACAAUGGGCGCAAGCCUGAUCCAGCAAUGCCGCGUGCAGGAUGAAGGCCUUCGGGUUGUAAACUGCUUUUGUACGGAACGAAACGGCUCUUUCUAAUAAAGAGGGCUAAUGACGGUACCGUAAGAAUAAGCACCGGCUAACUACGUGCCAGCCGCCGCAGUAA
Molecule: ribosomal RNA, 493 nt
Filed under: uncultured bacterium
Lineage: Bacteria
Description: partial 16S ribosomal RNA
Rfam family: Bacterial small subunit ribosomal RNA
Source: RNAcentral